This 433-nucleotide ribosomal RNA is filed under the name uncultured bacterium. RNAcentral describes it as "partial 16S ribosomal RNA". It matches the Rfam family "Bacterial small subunit ribosomal RNA", at positions 29 to 507 of the family's 1533-position model. The record is from RNAcentral.
AACGAACGCUGGCGGCAGGCUUAACACAUGCAAGUCGAGCGCAUCCUUCGGGGUGAGCGGCAGACGGGUGAGUAACGCGUGGGAAUCUACCUUUUGCUACGGAAUAGCUCCGGGAAACUGGAAUUAAUACCGUAUGUGCCCUUAGGGGGAAAGAUUUAUCGGCAAGAGAUGAGCCCGCGUUGGAUUAGCUAGUUGGUGGGGUAAAGGCCUACCAAGGCGACGAUCCAUAGCUGGUCUGAGAGGAUGAUCAGCCACAUUGGGACUGAGACACGGCCCAAACUCCUACGGGAGGCAGCAGUGGGGAAUAUUGGACAAUGGGCGCAAGCCAGAUCCAGCCAUGCCGCGUGAGUGAUGAAGGCCUUAGAGUUGUAAAGCUCGUUCACCGGAGAAGAUAAUGACGGUAUCCGGAGAAGAAGCCCCGGCUAACUUCGUG